AACACUGGAUUUAAACGAACGGAUAGGGAUCUCCUUUGGUCAUGCUGUAGUGCAAAAGAAUUCCUGGUUUUUGUUGCACGGCCACCAUUCUGCCAAAUUGCUGUCGCUAUACAGAGCUAAAGAGCACUU
Molecule: small nucleolar RNA, 129 nt
Organism: Sorex araneus (European shrew)
Lineage: Eukaryota; Metazoa; Chordata; Mammalia; Eulipotyphla; Soricidae
Source: Ensembl